GCCCUGGUGGUACAAUGGUUAAGCUCUCAGCUGCUAACUGAAAGGUUGGUAGUUCAAAUCCACCCAGUGGCU
RNAcentral lists this transfer RNA (72 nucleotides) under Loxodonta africana (African savanna elephant). It matches the Rfam family "tRNA". Rfam says of the family: Transfer RNA (tRNA) molecules are approximately 80 nucleotides in length. The record is from Rfam by way of RNAcentral. Lineage: Eukaryota; Metazoa; Chordata; Mammalia; Proboscidea; Elephantidae.